UACAGGGGGGGCAAGCGUUGUUCGGAAUUACUGGGCGUAAAGCGUGCGCAGGCGGUUUUGUAAGACUGGCGUGAAAUCCCCGGGCUUAACCUGGGAAUGGCGAUGGUGACUGCAAGGCUAGAGUUUGGCAGAGGGGGGUAGAGUUCCACGUGUAGCAGUGAAAUGCGUAGAUAUGUGGAGGAACACCGAUGGCGAAGGCAGCCCCCUGGGUCAAAACUGACGCUCAUGCACGAAAGCGUGGGGAGCAAACAGG
This 253-nucleotide ribosomal RNA is filed under the name uncultured bacterium. RNAcentral describes it as "partial 16S ribosomal RNA". It matches the Rfam family "Bacterial small subunit ribosomal RNA", at positions 524 to 776 of the family's 1533-position model. The record is from RNAcentral.